UCAACUCGGACGGUUUGACCACAGUCGUCACACUUUGCAGCCUUGCACUUGAUCACAAAUAAGAUUUGAGUACCAAUCAUUGAUGAGACAACUUCCUUUUUCUGAUCAGGAUUUUUACCAAAUCUCCCAGUGGUUGCAUCACUUUUAAGAUUUUCUAUCACUUGAUAUCCUCCAUGAAUUCAGAUACCUUUCAUGUUCACUUGCCCUUUGCAAGUAACUCGCAUGUCU
This 228-nucleotide long non-coding RNA is filed under the name Setaria italica (foxtail millet). RNAcentral describes it as "long non-coding RNA (SITA_LNC003405)". Lineage: Eukaryota; Viridiplantae; Streptophyta; Magnoliopsida; Poales; Poaceae. The record is from RNAcentral.